This 68-nucleotide ribosomal RNA is filed under the name Exophiala oligosperma. Its description in RNAcentral is "partial 18S ribosomal RNA". It matches the Rfam family "Eukaryotic small subunit ribosomal RNA", at positions 1764 to 1831 of the family's 1831-position model. The record is from RNAcentral. Lineage: Eukaryota; Fungi; Ascomycota; Eurotiomycetes; Chaetothyriales; Herpotrichiellaceae.
CUUGGUCAUUUAGAGGAAGUAAAAGUCGUAACAAGGUCUUCGUAGGUGAACCUGCGGAGGGAUCAUUA